UGCAAAAGGAAAAUAAGUAUCUUCUUUAAGACAAUCUUGAAGAAGAAAAUCAAGGUGGGAGAAUUAUGUAUACCAGAUACCAAAACUUAUUUUAAAGAUACAGUAACAGACAUUGUGGUAUUGGCUCAAGGGUAGAUAAAUAAAACCGUAGAACUCAAAAACAGAAACAUACAUAUAUGGAUUUAGUUUAUGAGAAGUGGCACUGCAAAUUAAUGGGGGAAAGAGGGUUUUUUAAUAAAUUAUAAUGGAAAAAGAAAAAUGCCAAUGAAUUCCUAGCUCAAACUGUAUGUAAAAGUCAACUCCAGGGGGAUUAUGGAGCCAAAUGUGAAGGUAAAGAAUAUCUAAAAAUCAAAUUUUAAAAGACAGAAAACCAAAUACAAAUGGGCAAAAAGUCAUAAACAGACGCUUCACAGUUACUAAGUCCAAAUGGUCAAUAAACAUAUGGAAAAGUGCUCAACCUCAUUAAUAAUUAAGGAAAUGAAAGUCAAAACCACAGAAUACCACUACCAUACACAUUCAUAAGAAUGGCAAAAGAUUAAAAGGUCUGCCAAAACCAAGUGUUGCCCAGAAUGUGAUGAGAGUGAAAACUGAUACACUUACUUUGGAGAACAGUUUGAUAAAUAAGUGUUUGGGAAUAAGUGGUAAAUGAAUGAAUGAAUAUGUGAAUGAAUAUGUAAAUAAAAUGGCAGCAAAACCAUGGGCACUAUGUGAAAGGCAAUAACUUAUAAAGGACCUGCUUCUAUAAGUCUGAAAGUAUUACUAGAACAAUAAAAUCAAGUACUGCUUUCAUCAUGGAUGAAUGUAUGAAUCCAAGAGCUAAUUCAAGCUGAAAAAUACAAAUGGGCUUUCCAAAAACUGAAAAUAAUUUACUGACAGUUGACUGAAAUCCCAUUUAUAUUUUCAUUCGAUUCAACAAAUCAUUAAGAAGCACCUACUCAUAAGCUUAGGACUGAAAUACAGACAUGAAAAAUACAGCUCCUGCCCUGAAGAAACUUAUAUUUUAGUAGGAAGACAGCUGUAGGCAAUCAAUUAUACAGUGCUUCUCAAAUCAUCUAUGGUAAGGAAUCACUUCUUUCAUUUCCAAUAUGUCACAGACUGUUAUUUUUGGAAAACACAAUAAAAAUAAACGAUUAGAAAAAUAAAAUUAUCUAAAGAUAUACAAAAUAUAAGCCCCAAUUUUUUGUAGUUAUUAGAGUCAACAAACAAAAUUAUUGUCAAAUUGCCAUAACUGUUA
RNAcentral lists this long non-coding RNA (1234 nucleotides) under Pan troglodytes (chimpanzee). RNAcentral's name for it is "long non-coding RNA NONPTRT002285". Lineage: Eukaryota; Metazoa; Chordata; Mammalia; Primates; Hominidae. The record is from RNAcentral.